RNAcentral lists this ribosomal RNA (254 nucleotides) under uncultured bacterium. Its description in RNAcentral is "partial 16S ribosomal RNA". It matches the Rfam family "Bacterial small subunit ribosomal RNA", at positions 524 to 776 of the family's 1533-position model. The record is from RNAcentral.
UACAGAGGGUGCAAGCGUUAUUCGGAAUUACUGGGCGUAAAGCGCAUGUAGGUUGGAUAUCAAGUCAGGUGUGAAAUUCCGGGGCUCAACUUCGGAAUGGCAUUUGAGACUGAUUGUUCUUGAGUAUUGGAGAGGGAGGUGGAAUUCCAGGUGUAGAGGUGAAAUUCGUAGAUAUCUGGAGGAACAUCGGAGGCGAAGGCGGCUUCCUGGCCAAUAACUGACACUGAGAUGCGAAAGCGUGGGUAGCAAACAGG